CCUACGGGGUGCAGCAGUGGGGAAUAUUGCACAAUGGGGGAAACCCUGAUGCAGCGACGCCGCGUGAGUGAAGAAGUAAUUCGUUAUGUAAAGCUCUAUCAGCAGGGAAGAAGAUGACGGUACCUGACCAAGAAGCCCCGGCUAACUACGUGCCAGCAGCCGCGGUAAUACGUAGGGGGCAAGCGUUAUCCGGAUUUACUGGGUGUAACGGGGGCGCAGACGGCAAUGCAAGCCAGGAGUGAAAGCCCGGGGCCCAACCCCGGGACUGCUCUUGUAACUGCAUGGCUGGAGUACAGGAGGGGCAGGCGGAAGUCCUAGUGUAGCGGUGAAAUGCGUAGAUAUUAGGAGGAACACCGGUGGCGAAGGCGGCCUGCUGGACUGUGACUGACGUUGAGGCCCGAAGGCGUGGGGAGCAAACAGGAUUAGAUACCCUUGUAGUC
This 440-nucleotide ribosomal RNA is filed under the name uncultured bacterium. RNAcentral's name for it is "partial 16S ribosomal RNA". It matches the Rfam family "Bacterial small subunit ribosomal RNA", at positions 338 to 795 of the family's 1533-position model. The record is from RNAcentral.